GGGUAAGUGAUGAGAACUUAUAUUGCUGAAGACAGAUGAUGACAUAAACAUCAUCCUCAGUAGGAAUAUGUUGAUGCCU
This is a small nucleolar RNA of Choloepus didactylus (southern two-toed sloth), 79 nucleotides long. RefSeq annotates it as small nucleolar RNA SNORD115. The transcript has a single exon. Lineage: Eukaryota; Metazoa; Chordata; Mammalia; Pilosa; Megalonychidae. The record is from RefSeq and is a predicted model, not a curated record.